Molecule: ribosomal RNA, 207 nt
Filed under: uncultured bacterium
Lineage: Bacteria
Description: partial 16S ribosomal RNA
Rfam family: Bacterial small subunit ribosomal RNA
Source: RNAcentral
CUCGUAGGCGGCCAACUAAGUCAGACGUGAAAUCCCUCGGCUUAACCGGGGAACUGCGUCUGAUACUGGAUGGCUGGAGGUUGGGAGAGGGAUGCGGAAUUCCAGGUGUAGCGGUGAAAUGCGUAGAUAUCUGGAGGAACACCGGUGGCGAAGGCGGCAUCCUGGACCAAUUCUGACGCUGAGGAGCGAAAGCCAGGGGAGCAAACG